AAACGUUGGAUAUAUGCUUUAU
RNAcentral lists this small nuclear RNA (22 nucleotides) under Arabidopsis thaliana (thale cress). Its description in RNAcentral is "snRNA_08120". Lineage: Eukaryota; Viridiplantae; Streptophyta; Magnoliopsida; Brassicales; Brassicaceae. The record is from RNAcentral.